This 69-nucleotide transfer RNA is filed under the name Atrichornis clamosus. Its description in RNAcentral is "tRNA-Lys". Lineage: Eukaryota; Metazoa; Chordata; Aves; Passeriformes; Menuridae. The record is from RNAcentral.
CAUUGGGAAGCUAUGCAUCAGCGCUAGCCUUUUAAGCUAGAGACAGAGGAAUUCCCUCCUCCCCAAUGA